AGGACGAACGCUGGCGGCGUGCUUAACACAUGCAAGUCGAACGGAAAGGCCCGCUUGCGGGUACUCGAGUGGCGAACGGGUGAGUAACACGUGGGCAACCUGCCCUCAGCUCUGGGAUAACUCCGGGAAACCGGUGCUAAUACUGGAUAUCGACUUCUGCCUCGCAUGGGGUGUUGUUGAAAGUUUUUCGGCUGGGGAUGGGCCCGCGGCCUAUCAGCUUGUUGGUGGGGUGAUGGCCUACCAAGGCGACGACGGGUAGCCGGCCUGAGAGGGCGACCGGCCACACUGGGACUGAGACACGGCCCAGACUCCUACGGGAGGCAGCAGUGGGGAAUAUUGCGCAAUGGGCGGAAGCCUGACGCAGCGACGCCGCGUGAGGGAUGACGGCCUUCGGGUUGUAAACCUCUUUCAGCUCUGACGAAGCGAGAGUGACGGUAGGAGCAGAAGAAGCACCGGCCAACUACGCGCCAGCAGCCGCGGU
This 481-nucleotide ribosomal RNA is filed under the name uncultured bacterium. RNAcentral describes it as "SSU rRNA". It matches the Rfam family "Bacterial small subunit ribosomal RNA", at positions 26 to 521 of the family's 1533-position model. The record is from RNAcentral.